Non-coding RNA from Pelobates cultripes (western spadefoot toad), 368 nucleotides. The record is from the annotation of a GenBank genome assembly. NCBI's taxonomy places the organism in Eukaryota, Metazoa, Chordata, Amphibia, Anura, Pelobatidae.
AACCCAGAGUCUGGAGGAAGAAUGGAGAGGCACACACUGCAAGAUGCUUGAAGUCCAGUGUGAAGUUUCCACAGUGUGUGUUGAUUUGGGGAGCCAUGUCAUCUGCUGGUGUUGGUCCACUGUGCUUCAUUAAGUCCAGGGUCAACACAGCCGUCUACCAGGAGAUUUUGGAGCACUUCAUGCUUCCUUCCGCAGACGAGCUUUAUGGGGAUGCUGACUUCAUUUUCCAGCAGGACUUGGCAUCUGCCCACACUGCCAAAAGCACCAAAGCCUGGUUCAAUGACCGUGGGAUUAUUAUUCUUGAUUGGCCAGCAAACUCGCCUGACCUGAACCCCAUAGAGCAGUGGUUCCCAAACAAGUCCUUGUGG